AAAACAUGUCUCUUAGAAAUUAUUAAGAGUCAGGCCUGCCCAGUGAUUGCUUUUUAACGGCCGCGGUACCCUGACCGUGCAAAGGUAGCAUAAUCAUUUGCCUUUUAAUUGAAGGCUGGUAUGAACGGUUUGACGAGAGUAAAGCUGUCUCACAUAUACUUAAUAAAAAUUAAUUUAAAGGUGCAAAAGCCUUUAUUGCCCAAAAAGACGAGAAGACCCUGUUGAGCUUUAAUUUAACUCAAGUACUAACUAUAUAUUAAUAUAAUUCACUUGCUUGAUAAAAAUUUUAAUUGGGGCGAUUAAGGAACAUUCAAAAGCUUCCUGACUAUUAACAAUAAAAUAUUCCAUAGAUUAAAUCGAUCCAGCAAUGCUGAUCAACAAAAUGAGUUACCACAGGGAUAACAGCAUAAUUCUUUUUGAGAGCUCAUAUCGAAAAAAGAGAUUGUGACCUCGAUGUUGGACUAGGGUAACCGGAAGGUGCAGCCGCUUUCCCGCUUGGUCUGUUCGACCAAUAAUUCCCUACGUGAUCUG
RNAcentral lists this ribosomal RNA (531 nucleotides) under Vitta usnea. Its description in RNAcentral is "Neritina usnea partial 16S ribosomal RNA". It matches the Rfam family "Bacterial large subunit ribosomal RNA", at positions 1810 to 2607 of the family's 2925-position model. Lineage: Eukaryota; Metazoa; Mollusca; Gastropoda; Cycloneritida; Neritidae. The record is from RNAcentral.